Molecule: ribosomal RNA, 499 nt
Filed under: uncultured bacterium
Lineage: Bacteria
Description: partial 16S ribosomal RNA
Rfam family: Bacterial small subunit ribosomal RNA
Source: RNAcentral
GACGAACGCUGGCGGCGUGCCUAAUACAUGCAAGUCGAGCGGACUUUCCCUACUCUUGCUUUUUGCAAGUUAGCCGCGGACGUGAGUGUCACACGUGUGCCAUCUGCCUGCCAUUCGGAUAUCAUCCCGGGAAACCGGCGCAUAUCCCGUAUAAUAUCCUCCUUCAUAGUAAGGAUGGUAGAAAUUCGGCGCAAGCUGCUGGUCUCAGAUGUUCUCGCGGCGCAUUUGCAAGGUUGUGAGGUCAAGGCUCACCAAGGCGAGGCUGCGUAGCCGGACGGAGAGGGUGAGCGGCCGGACUGGGACUGAGACAGGGCCCAGACGCAUACGGGAGGCAGCAGGAGGGAAUCGUCCGCAAUGGACGAAAGUCUGACGGAGAAACGCCGCGUGAGCGAAGAGGGUCUUCGGGUCGUAGAGCUCUGUUGUCAGGGAAGAACAAGUACCGUUCGGACAGGGCGGGACCUUGACGGUAACUGGCCAGAAAGCCACGGCUAACUACGUG